Molecule: long non-coding RNA, 268 nt
Filed under: Lathyrus oleraceus (garden pea)
Lineage: Eukaryota; Viridiplantae; Streptophyta; Magnoliopsida; Fabales; Fabaceae
Description: Pisum sativum (pea) long non-coding RNA (PSAT_LNC015678)
Source: RNAcentral
UCAGAGAGUCUGGGUAAGGGGUAAAUUACGCAAUGGGAAGGUGUUAGGCACCCACUACGUCCUAGGUACUCCUAGGGAGCCCUUUUCACACUUGUUGUACUAAAUUGUUAUUUGUUAUGACAUAAGCAUUGUGCAAACAUGAUUGGGAUGGUGAGAAAAGAAUAUACAAUUUUAUUAUUGGGUUUGAACGGAUGAACCCGCUGCCUACGUACCUUCCAUCAAAGGUAAGGAUCAAAACGCCGUAGUUCGGCUAAAAGAUUUCCAAAAG